UUAUGAGUAAUUUCUUCAUCAUUGUCGCCAUCAUCCUGGUUUCCUCAUCAUAGUUUUUUACCAUGAAAGUUUCAUCUUAUUCACUCAAAUAUUCAUUAUCAUUAAAAAUAAAAAACUCAAAUUAAAAAAAAAACUAAAUUUCUGAAUUUUAUCCAAUAAAUUAAAAUCUAAAUCUAAGGACAACAAUGCCCUUAAUUAUCUCCCCCCC
RNAcentral lists this long non-coding RNA (208 nucleotides) under Gossypium raimondii (Peruvian cotton). Its description in RNAcentral is "long non-coding RNA (GRAI_LNC000627)". The record is from RNAcentral. Lineage: Eukaryota; Viridiplantae; Streptophyta; Magnoliopsida; Malvales; Malvaceae.